Molecule: long non-coding RNA, 607 nt
Organism: Pezoporus flaviventris
Lineage: Eukaryota; Metazoa; Chordata; Aves; Psittaciformes; Psittacidae
Exons: 3
Source: RefSeq, a predicted model, not a curated record
UGUCUGAUGGCUGUGUCUUGUGAACAGACUGACCUGGCACGGUGGUCUGCUCCCUGCCAAGCUGUGUCUGCAGGGCACCGGUGACUGCCACAUGCACAAGUGCUGUUUCCAGUGCUUCCAGAUUAUGGACGUGUUACCUGGAAAAGUUCCUGUCCCUGAGGUGAAUGAGUCCCUGACCGCAGCCAGGAGCCAGCCUGAGGGAUCAUUCAAGAGUUUCCUCUGAACAAGAAAAUUUUACUUUUUUGAGGUAGCAUGGAGCUGAAUAAGAGGCAGUCAAGGAUACUUCAUAUAUAUUGGCGGUCUGAUACUACAUAAAAUCAACCUCUGGCGAGGACAGGGAAAGCAAGAGUUUAGGAAAAACUUCCUGGCCAAGAACUGCUGUGGGAAUCCACUCCCAGAUCUGAUUAAAUCAGGAGGUUGAGGACGACUUUCUUUUCUUAUACUUUUGCGUCAAUUAAGUCGCUCUGUGAUCUGGAUUACACCUCCACAUGUUUGUUAUUUGAUUACUGUGUGAAUGCUCAUUGCUUACUUUGCUUUUGUUUUAUGUUUUUCUGAUAAUUUCCUGAAAGCCUUAAACCGAAAUAAAUGACAGGUUUAGUAAAAACUC